RNAcentral lists this ribosomal RNA (197 nucleotides) under uncultured bacterium. Its description in RNAcentral is "partial 16S ribosomal RNA". It matches the Rfam family "Bacterial small subunit ribosomal RNA", at positions 328 to 539 of the family's 1533-position model. The record is from RNAcentral.
ACGCUCGACACCUACAGGAGGCAGCAGUGGGGAAUAUUGCACAAUGGGGGAAACCCUGAUGCAGCGACGCCGCGUGAAGGAAGAAGUAUCUCGGUAUGUAAACUUCUAUCAGCAGGGAAGAAAGUGACGGUACCUGACUAAGAAGCCCCGGCUAACUACGUGCCUGCAGCCGCGGUAAUCUGAGCGGCUGGCAAGGC